GUCACUUAUUCUUUUGCUUGAUAUAUAGAAAACAGGCAGUGUUUGGCUAUGGUAACAUUUUUUAUUGACGGAAUUUUGGCUAUGGUAGCAUAUCUUCUUGUUUUAGCCAAACUGAUUUAAAACCUUUAAAAAAAUUGAAGAGAUUUUGAAUUAAUAAAAUAAAAAAUACAAAGUAUUGUAAAAAGAAACUAUGAAAACAGACUGACUGCAGUGGUUUUGGUCUGUACAUGCGUCAAUCCUGCUUUUUGAUUAUCAUGCAUCUGUCCUUUUUUUAUAUAAUAUAUCAAUAAUAUGCAUCGGUUCUUUAAAACAAGAAGAUAGAGUUCAUAAAAUUGGGGAAAUCUGGACCGCACACGCGUCCGAGUUUGGGUGCAGAGUGCAAAUGUAAAAUGUCAGAGGGUGCAAAGUAGAAAUAACAGAGGGUAUUAGGUGCAAUUGUUCAAAUUUCAGGGUGUGCAGGUGCACCCCCUGGUUGCACACUGGAUCCGCCCC
This 492-nucleotide long non-coding RNA is filed under the name Trifolium pratense (red clover). RNAcentral's name for it is "long non-coding RNA (TPRA_LNC001191)". Lineage: Eukaryota; Viridiplantae; Streptophyta; Magnoliopsida; Fabales; Fabaceae. The record is from RNAcentral.